UACGGAGGGUGCAAGCGUUAUCCGGAUUCACUGGGUUUAAAGGGUGCGUAGGUGGGUUGGUAAGUCAGUGGUGAAAUCUCCGUGCUUAACAUGGAAACUGCCAUUGAUACUACUGAUCUUGAAUUUUCGGGAGGUAAGCGGAAAUAUGUCAUGUAGCGGUGAAAUGCUUAGAUAAUGACAUAGAACACCAAUUGCGAAGGCAGCUUACUACAGGAAUAUUGACACU
Molecule: ribosomal RNA, 226 nt
Filed under: uncultured bacterium
Lineage: Bacteria
Description: partial 16S ribosomal RNA
Rfam family: Bacterial small subunit ribosomal RNA
Source: RNAcentral